This 542-nucleotide small RNA is filed under the name Pongo abelii (Sumatran orangutan). RNAcentral's name for it is "processed transcript". The record is from RNAcentral. Lineage: Eukaryota; Metazoa; Chordata; Mammalia; Primates; Hominidae.
GUGCUCUGGGUUCCUUGGCUCAGCUGCAGUGAGACCUGAAGGUGUUCGGUACUUCUGAGUCUCCAAGCUGCAUCCGGUCUUGGGAUGUCGAUCCUGGCAUCUGCAACCUCGAUGAACAGCUCAAGGUCUUUGUGUCCCGACACUCUGCCACCUUCUCCAGCAUUGUGAAAGGCCAGCGGAGCCUGCAUCACCGUGGAGACAGCCUGGAGACCCUGGUCCUCCUGAACCCAUCAGACAAAUCCCUGUGUGAUGAGCUCCGGAACCUUCUGUUGGACCCUGCCUCUCACAAGCUACUGGUGUUGGCUGGGCCCUGCCUAGAGGAGACGGGGGAGCUGCUGCUACAGACAGGGGGCUUCUCACCUCACCACUUCCUCCAGGUCCUGAAGGACAGAGAGAUCCGGGACAUCCUGGCCACCACGCCCCCACCUGUGCAGCCGCCCAUACUCACCAUCACCUGCCCCGCCUUCGGUGACUGGGCUCAGCUGGCCCCCGCUGUGCCCGGCCUUCAGGGGGCGCUCCGGCUCCAGCUGCGGCUGAACCCC